GAGAACAUCAUCACCCAAUAGAGAUAAACUAUCAAACAAAAGAAAGAGAUGGGAUAAGGAAAGGAUGAAGAAAGUAAGAAGAGGUCGAGGAGGUAGAUGGGAGAAGAAGAAGUCUUGAGGAAAGGUUUGAAAAAAGAAGAUAGUGGUUGUGAUGAAGGUGGUGGGAGCAAGGUAAGGGAAGGUCUGACGGUGAAGGGUUAGGUAGGAGAGCUCCUCCCAUAAGGCAUGUAAAUUUUGAAUAUGCAGAUAAGAAUGAGUGUUUUGUUGGCAUAUGCAUCUUGGUCCAGAAGUAGGAUAAGAUAUUGAUAUUUAUCUGGAGGUUCAUAAUGUAGUUUCAUUUGUUUAGAUGGUUGAGAAUUUAGAGAGUCAGUUGGAAGGAUUAUUCAAGAGAGGAAGAUUGAUAGUUUUUAGAAGAGUGAAAAUGUAAAGGAGGAAGGGGAUUGACUCGAUUUAAAUAGGGAAGAGUAUUGGUCAUAAUCAAUUUUCAUUUGUCAUUUCUGAUUAAUGCACAUUGUACGACAUAGAUUCGAGAAAAGAUUUUAUUUUUCUUGAGAACCGAGAUACUAUGGGAAAGAGGCACUGAUGCAACGAAUAUGUUUUGAAAAGGUGGCAAAGUCAUAAGAUUUAUAUUCUCGAUAAGGAAGAUAGGUUGAUAACUUGAUUGACAUGCAAGAGGUGAUUGUUGAGACUUUGGCAAGUGUACCAAAUCGUUUCAAGUAAUAAAACUGGUAAGGCCAAAUAUCGUUUCCCAAGAGACUCGUGUCACUAAACAAUCGUAUAAUUUAUAACUAACCUAGACUAAAGAAUGCUUCCAUAAAUUGGGUUUUGGUGCAAUUAAAGUAAACAUGAAACAUAAAUGAUAAAAGUCAU
RNAcentral lists this long non-coding RNA (870 nucleotides) under Vigna radiata. RNAcentral describes it as "long non-coding RNA (VRAD_LNC004520)". Lineage: Eukaryota; Viridiplantae; Streptophyta; Magnoliopsida; Fabales; Fabaceae. The record is from RNAcentral.